This 500-nucleotide ribosomal RNA is filed under the name uncultured bacterium. RNAcentral's name for it is "partial 16S ribosomal RNA". It matches the Rfam family "Bacterial small subunit ribosomal RNA", at positions 30 to 523 of the family's 1533-position model. The record is from RNAcentral.
AUUGAACGCUGGCGGCAUGCCUUACACAUGCAAGUCGAACGGCAGCACGGGAGCAAUCCUGGUGGCGAGUGGCGAACGGGUGAGUAAAGUAUCGGAACGUGCCCAGUCGUGGGGGAUAACGUAGCGAAAGUUACGCUAAUACCGCAUACGAUCUAUGGAUGAAAGCGGGGGAUCGCAAGACCUCGCGCGAUUGGAGCGGCCGAUAUCAGAUUAGGUAGGUGGUGGGGUAAAGGCUCACCAAGCCGACGAUCUGUAGCUGGUAUGAGAGGACGACCAGCCACACUGGGACUGAGACACGGCCCAGACUCCUACGGGAGGCAGCAGUGGGGAAUUUUGGACAAUGGGCGAAAGCCUGAUCCAGCCAUGCCGCGUGCAGGAUGAAGGCCUUCGGGUUGUAAACUGCUUUUGUACGGAACGAAAAGGUUUGGGCUAAUAAGCUGAGCUCAUGACGGUACCGUAAGAAUAAGCACCGGCUAACUACGUGCCAGCCGCCGCCGUAA